Molecule: transfer RNA, 76 nt
Filed under: Alphaproteobacteria bacterium
Lineage: Bacteria; Pseudomonadati; Pseudomonadota; Alphaproteobacteria
Description: tRNA-Trp
Rfam family: tRNA
About the family: Transfer RNA (tRNA) molecules are approximately 80 nucleotides in length. Their secondary structure includes four short double-helical elements and three loops (D, anti-codon, and T loops).
Source: RNAcentral
AGGGGUGUAGCUCAAUUGGUAGAGCACCGGUCUCCAAAACCGGGGGUUGCAGGUUCGAGUCCUGUCUCCCCUGCCA